This 471-nucleotide unclassified non-coding RNA is filed under the name Hevea brasiliensis (rubber tree). The record is from RNAcentral. Lineage: Eukaryota; Viridiplantae; Streptophyta; Magnoliopsida; Malpighiales; Euphorbiaceae.
GCAGCCACUCGUUUACAAGGAUGAUAACCACAAACCUGAGAUGGCUUUGGCAUUGACCAAGUUCGAGGCCUUGUGUGGCUUCAUAAGUCUUGAGGAGCUUAAAGUGAUUGUUCAGACUGUGCCCGAGAUUGUUGAAGUAGUUGGUAAUGCGCUUGCAGAGCUAGUAUUGGACUUGAGCGAGGAUGAUGAAGAGGAGAAAGGUAAAUUAGUGCUCAGAAAAUUAUUCACGGAGAUUAUGUCAGCUAGCAAGGAUGUGAUCACGGAAGUACUUGCUAAGCUGAUUAGUCGUCUGAACAUUAAAAACAAGGUAAGGGUGCUGACCGACAAGGAACAACUGGUCCUAGGACUUGAGAAGCAGUAUCCAUCUGAUGUUGGUGUUUUAGCAGCAUUCUUGUUUAAUUACGUGAAGCUCAAUCCUGGUGAAGCUUUAUAUUUAGGGGCAAAUGAACCCCAUGCAUAUGUAUAUGGAGA